Molecule: long non-coding RNA, 2367 nt
Organism: Manis javanica (Malayan pangolin)
Lineage: Eukaryota; Metazoa; Chordata; Mammalia; Pholidota; Manidae
Source: RefSeq, a predicted model, not a curated record
UUUGAGGAUGUGACAUUUAAAAUGAGACCUAAAAGACCAGAUGGAGUAAUGGGAAGUCUCAACAGAGGAAGCAGACAUGUGAAGGCAGAGGCCCAGAAAGAAUGUAGUUUAUUCAAGAACUGAGAGCAACUUAGAGUGGCCAGAAAACAGAAACUAUGUCAGCUGUGCUUGAUAAAAAAGAGCAACGCUUUCCUGUGGCUACCUGUUCAAAGCGAAUACAUUCCACUGUGGCUGGGACCACACUGGACUUGUGCCAUCCAGCUGGACUUGGCACAGUGCCUGGCAUAUGAUCUCAAGACUCCUCCCAUCUGAACCAGCCUUCCUCCCUUCUUUCUACGUGGCUUUGACUUGUUGAGAAGUCUGAGCCAGUUGCCUUGAGGAAUGUCCCAACUUCUGGAUUUGUGUGAUUGCUUCCUCACGAUACCACUUACUGUUGUUAAUUCCUUCCAUUAACCUAAGUCCUCUGUGUUUCCUGUAAACUGGAAUGUAGACAUAGAAGGCUUGAUUUAAUAGCAGACUAAACAUUUUGCAGGAAUAGUUCAGAGAUAAAGAUCUGUACUUCAUAUUGCAUCAUAUAGGAGGUACAUAAUGUAUGUCUAGUGUCUCACCACUGGUAACACUGAAAUUGGUCACUGGGUUUGAGGGGUGACCUCCAGAUUUCAUCAUUAUAAAGUUCUGUGUUCCCCUUAUAACUGGCAAGCCAUCUGUGAAGUAAUCCUUUGGGACCAUGCAAGGAUAUAAUGGACUUUUUUUCCCAUUUGGUGGAAGGAGACCUGCAGGCUGCGUCUAUGCUGUGCACGGUGAUCCCAGGCUUCAACAUGCUGUGCUUCACCUCUCGGUCUGGGCAGCAGUACUUCACUGGCCGUGAAACCACCCACAUGCGUUCAGCAAAUGGUCACCUGGGCCUGACUGGCUGUGAGACAGACAGCAGGGACAGGCAACGGGUGUAGGGAAGUUAACAAUAGCUUGCCCUUGAGCAGCACUGAAGGUAGACUCAAGACACAAUGCUAGGGAAACCACACAGAAGGUUCCUAUGCUCUGAUCAAAGUUAAAAAAAGAUACAAUUCAGAAAAGAACUGAAAGAAAAUACAACUCCUAAUGAUAUUUGGCAUGGGGAAGUGGAAUUCAGAAUUUUUUAGCUUUUUGUAAUUUCACCUUACUUUUACAGUAAAAAUAAGAAAUGUGUGAAUAAAUCAGAAUGUGAUAGGUAAGAUGUUCUGAGAAGAAAAAUCAUGAAUAAAAAUGUGAACAGAGAACAUGAUAAAAUGAAAUAAAUUGUAAUUUUUUAACUCACUUUACUUUUUAUGUCAAAGUUUAUAAGGCAAAUUUGAGACAUAGUGACAUCCUACUUAUAAGUACAUAAGCACACAUUGUGAAAUAGUAAGAAUGUUUUCCAUUACAGCUAAAUUAAGAUUGUCUUCAUGAGCAAAGUUAAUAUUAAAUCCUUAACAUCACUGAACAUGCUGUCAAUUUUCAGAUUUUUCUUCCAAUUAUCCCAAAAAAAUGUCUUUUAUAGCUGGUUUCCAAACCAGGAUCUAAAAACUGAGAAACACGUUUUUAAAUGACCAUACAAAAAUUUUUUAAAUAGUAUAUCACUGAGAUACAGACUUUUCCUUUUAGUUUACUUUACCCAUUAAUUUAAAAAAGGAAUAUUUUAUUGCUACCAUUUCAGUAAAUGGAUGCCACAUGCAUCUGGUUAAGGUAUUUACAAGUUCUUUCAGUUCCAAAAUUUACCAUCACUGAUAACAUUUAUAUCCUAAUGAUUUGCAAGUCCUUACUAGCAAUGAAGAAAUCUUAAAAUCAGUAUGAAACUAAAAUAUGCCGGUUUAUAUGUUGGGCUUCAGAAGUAAAUCGUGCCCAUUGAUGCAGAUGUGCUGUACCAUCUCAGCAGGAGGAAGCCAGCCUUGGCCAGGUUCAGGCUAAGACACGGGGAGUAGGGAAGCAAUACAUUUGUAUGUCAGUCAAGAAAAUGUGGAUCUUAAGGCUUACAGAAUCCCCUUUCUCUUUAAAAUGGCACUUUAAACUUUCCCUGUCUUUGCUCAAGAUCUUUUCAUUUCCUAAAAGAACAAAGAGCAUUCAUUUUUCAAACACUCUCUGCCCAAGUGGGGAAAUUAGCAAGACAAAGAUGAUAUAUUCAAGAUAUGAAAUCAUAGUAUCUUUCAUCCCUCUGUACUUUGGAGUACUUGAGCUGUUUUGAAAUGAUAAACUGUUCCUUUGUUUUUCUAUUAAAUGCUUGUGAUGAAUAGGGAAAAAAAACGUCUACAUUUCAAAUUAGACUUUUCAUUAAGUACUAAGACCUGUUUUGUUCAAAAGAAGUAAUGAAAUGUGUUUGGGAUUUUUUUUCUGUUUUUUGGUCUGAAUGUUGGU